RNAcentral lists this long non-coding RNA (1008 nucleotides) under Vulpes vulpes (red fox). RNAcentral describes it as "lncRNA (ENSVVUG00000001049.1)". Lineage: Eukaryota; Metazoa; Chordata; Mammalia; Carnivora; Canidae. The record is from RNAcentral.
CUCCCGCUCGGCCUCCCGCUCGGCCACCUGCGCGGUCCGCCCGACCCGAGGGGCGCCUGGCCGGGGCCGCCGGAACCGCGCGGCUCCUCCCGCCGGGCCCAGCACGCCUCCCCUCCGGGCCCUCCCACCUCGCCCGCUCCAAAGGCGCACAUUCCGGGGGAGGGCGGGCGCAACCAUCCAGCGUCUCCGGGAGCCUCGACGCCGGGCCGAACCAUCCUCACGGGGGCCGCGGAGAGGGGGCGGGGAGGACGGCGGCGCCGGGCGGCGCACCGGUGGGCCGGGCCGGGGGCCGCCGGGGGCCUGCGACUGAGGGAAUGUCAGAGCUGUCGGCGAAGGGCGCCCUCCCCACGGCGGACGCGGGCGGGGGCCCGGGCUGCGGCAGCUCACCCCGCGGCCGGACUUGGUCCCGCCCGCCGCCGGCCCGAGGGGGGCUGGGCGGGGUUUCUGGGAUUUGCAGUCCCGGUGGGAGGCCGGGCCUGGAGGCUCCCGGCGUCGGAACCCGGCCUCCCCGGCGCCGCAGCCCGAGUCCGAGCCCCGCGUGCGCGCCCCCCGCAGCCUCGGCCCGGGGCUCGCCUGGAAACCCGGCUGCAGCGUGCGCCGCUGAGGUCGCGGCGAACGCUUGGGCUUCGUCCCCAUCCCUACGGCGCGUUCCCCGGUGCAGUCCCCCUUCCAGCUGCAUGCACCAGCUCCAGCGCACGGUGCCUUUUUUGGAGGACGAGACGCUGGUCAACCGGCUCGGCACACGCUCUUUUAUGGAAAGACUUUAAUGACAUAUGUAACAAAUGUGAUAAAGGAGGAAACUCAGCUAGAAGGGGUGGAAGUGGAAGCGGGGUUUGGUCCNCCCCCCCCCCCCCCCCCGCACCUUGGCCCUGGUAUAUCGCCAUCGCCUGGCACAGGUGCACAGUGGUUAUCCGAGCCAUCCAUCAGCACUUUUUUUUUUUUUUCUAUUCUUUUCUAUCACUGGCUAGCCAAAGAUUACGGUAUAAAGGAUCCGUCUUUGUAGCUUAG